This 174-nucleotide ribosomal RNA is filed under the name Giardia duodenalis. RNAcentral's name for it is "Giardia intestinalis partial 18S ribosomal RNA". Lineage: Eukaryota; Fornicata; Diplomonadida; Hexamitidae. The record is from RNAcentral.
ACGCUCUCCCCCAAGGACGAAGCCAUGCAUGCCCGCUCACCCGGGACGCGGCGGACGGCUCAGGACAACGGUUGCACCCCCCGCGACGGUCCCUGCUAGCCGGACACCGCUGGCAACCCGGCGCCAAGACGUGCGCGCAAGGGCGGGCACCCGCGGGCGACAGCGUGACGCAGA